GGAUCAAUAUUUCGGUCAUGCCGUUGGUAUGCACUGUUAUCAUUGAUUUCUCACCUUCUAAAGAACCGUGAUGCCAUUAAUUUGGUGUCACGGGGAAUUAGGACUGUUACCUUGAAAAAAUUAGAGUGUUUAAAGCAGGCUCACGCUUGAAUACAUUAGCAUGGAAUAAUGAAAUAGGACAUCCGAUUCUAUUUUGUUGGUUUCUAGGAUCGAUGUAAUGAUUAAUAGGGAUAGUUGGG
RNAcentral lists this ribosomal RNA (239 nucleotides) under Glomus sp. Its description in RNAcentral is "partial small subunit ribosomal RNA". It matches the Rfam family "Eukaryotic small subunit ribosomal RNA", at positions 669 to 886 of the family's 1831-position model. Lineage: Eukaryota; Fungi; Glomeromycota; Glomeromycetes; Glomerales; Glomeraceae. The record is from RNAcentral.